This is a long non-coding RNA of Carassius auratus (goldfish), 213 nucleotides long. RefSeq lists it as uncharacterized. The record is from RefSeq and is a predicted model, not a curated record. The transcript has 3 exons. Lineage: Eukaryota; Metazoa; Chordata; Actinopteri; Cypriniformes; Cyprinidae.
CAGCACAAGAUCGUCUGAACUACUGCAAGUCAUGAUGAGCAUCUGAUCGUCUUCAGAGACACAAAGAUCUCAGUGUUGAGCUGUUCAUCUGCAGUCUGUCAGAGAAGAGAGGAAAGAUGAGUCUCUCACACAAACAGAGUGUAAGAUCAGGCUCACAUGUGUCCAGCUCUGUGUCUGUGAAGAGUGACUGCUCAAAAGAUGAACCAAUGAAGU